This is a non-coding RNA of Cinclus cinclus, 1716 nucleotides long. NCBI's taxonomy places the organism in Eukaryota, Metazoa, Chordata, Aves, Passeriformes, Cinclidae. The record is from the annotation of a RefSeq genome assembly.
AUGGACCCCGCCCGCACCCCCAGCGUUUUCCCGCUGUUGUCCGGCGGGGAUUGCAAAGGCCAGGUGAGUUUCGGUUGCUUCGCCGCCGGGUUCUUCCCUCAGCCGGCCACCAUCACCUGGGAGGGCGUGGCCUCAGGUGAGUCCCUCAGCUUCCCGGAAGUGGCCACGGCCAAAAGUCAGUUCGGCCUCAGCUCCCGAGUGAUCAUGGACGCCGAAAAAGCCAAAAACGGAAAAUUCGUGUGCCGGGUGCAGCACAGGAGCAGCAACCAGAAGGAGGAGAUUAAAGACAUUUGCUGCGUCCCAGAGUUCUCCAUCUCGCUGCUGGCCGAUCCCAACCAAUCCCACCUGGACGAGAACCAGGUUCACCUGCUCUGCCAGGUGAGGGGGCGGGGCGCCGCCGACGUCAACCUCACCUGGAUGUUCAACGGUGAGGACAUCGACUUGGGGGCGGAGCUUUCCACCUGCCAGGAGGGCGGCGAGGGUCACGUGACCCUGAGCGGGCGCGCCAACAUCAGCCGGGAAUUAUGGGAUGGAGGCGCCACCUAUACCUGUCAGGCCAGCCACGCCCACGUGGCCAAGCCCCUCCAGGCCUCCAUCAGCACCUUCUGCCAAGGCCCCGCCCCUUCCCCCAGCGUCACCCUCCUCCCUCCCACCCUCCACGACCUCUACCUGUCCUCCAACCCCAACCUCACCUGCGUGGCCACUCGCCUGAAGAACCCCGAGGCCAAAUUCACCUGGAGCCGCUCUUCGGGCGGGGCACUGGGUGUGGUCACUUCCGGCCACGCCCAAAAACUUCCCAGCGGCCUCUACGAGCUCCGCAGCUUUUUGGGGAUUUGCGCCGAGGAUUGGAAUUCCGGCGACACCUUUACCUGCCGGGUGGCGGUCGGAGAGCUGGGGUCGGAGCCGUUGGUCAGCAGCAUCCGGAAGAGCACAGACGCCGCCACCGUCGCUCCCAAAGUUUUCGCCUUCCCGCCCCCGCCGGAAGAACUCUCCCUUUCGGAAACCGCCACCCUCACCUGCCUGGCCACCGGCUUCUCCCCGCGCGACAUCCUGCUCACCUGGACGCAGCGAGACGAGCCGGUUGACUCCGGGAAGUUCUCGGUUUUGGGUCCGGAACCGGACGCGGGAGUUUCCGGAAGGUUCUCGGUGUUUUCCAAGCUGUCGGUGCCGGCGGAGGAGUGGAGGCGCGGCGACGUUUUCGGCUGCGUGGUGGGGCACGAGGGCGUGGCCGGCCUGAAGUUCGUGCAGAGGAAUUUGGAUAAAUCGUCGGCGCGGCCGGCGCAGGUCAACGUCUCGGUGGUGUUGGCGGAUUCCGACCUCGUCUGUUAUUAAAAAUUUUAAUUUUUUUUUUUUUUUUUCCUUUUUUUGGGGGAAUAAAAAGGGAUUUCGGGAAAGCGAAUUUUGGUUUCUGUGGUUUUUUUUUGUUGUUGUUGUUGUUUUUUUGGUUUUUGGCGCGGGGAAGAUGGCGGUCACCGGGCGGGGUGAAAUUUUUUUCUUUUUUUUUUUUUUGGUGUUUUUAUUUAUUUUUCUUUUGGGAGGGGCAGGAAAAUGUGGAUUUUUUUUAAGAGGUGAAAAACGUGGAUUUCAGGAAGCGAAAUUUCUGGAAUUUUUGGGGGAGAAAUGUGGAUUUUUUGGGGAAAAAAUGCGGAUUUUUAGGACGGGAAAAUGUGGAUUUUAGGAAGCGAAAUUUCUGGAAUUUUUGGGGGAGAAAUGUGG